Molecule: unclassified non-coding RNA, 3307 nt
Filed under: Anthonomus grandis grandis
Lineage: Eukaryota; Metazoa; Arthropoda; Insecta; Coleoptera; Curculionidae
Description: uncharacterized LOC126747383
Source: RNAcentral
UUAUGUUGUAAAGGUGUUGUAUUGUUGUCAAAGUAAAAAGUCAAAAAGGGUUGUGUUUUUCGAAAAGUGAUUAUUUACUUUAUUUCGUUCGUUAUAAUUAAUUAUAAAUGUUUAGAAGACUCUUUUUACAAUGUUGUGAGGCUUUAUUAAAUUAGUUAAUCGUAACUGUGUGCAAUUAAGUGCAAUAGAGAAUAUCUAUCUACUGAAGAUGUUAAAUUUCUAAAAACUAAAGUAGCAAGAAAAAAUGGAAGAAAAAAGUGAAACAGAACCCUCCUUAUCGCCCCCCACUGACGAUAAAGAAGUACUCGAAUCUCCAAGAACCACGGCUUUUACCAUAGACUUCGGGGAUGACAAUCGAAAAGUUGAUUUCCAAAGGCACAAAUCAUUGUCGGAAAAGUUCCAAAAGAGGCACAAAAGAGGGAAAUCCAUGUCCAAGCUGGAGAGUGCCUCCGUGGAAAAUACCGCAACGAGUACCAAAAAGUAUCCUCUCACUGGAAAUAUGCCAAGAAAAUCAAGUUUACAAUUUGAAGAUGAACGAACGAACGAGCAACGAUGCAAAAGUGCGAACGUCGCCAGCUCCAAUCGGAUAGAUCUGACGCUUCCCCUUGAACGAACCACCUCCGAUAGGAUGACGCACUCCUUCCCUAACGCAGCUCUCUUAUCACUAACCAGCCCCAGCGGAGUUUGUGACCUCCAAAACGUUUCUAGUCCUGAAUUUGAACUCAUUAGUCCGUUUAGUCCUUUGGUAGACGAUGUACUUAGGAAUGUUAAUAGUAUUAGUUUGUCCUCAGAGGAGGCGAACAUCGAGACGAACUUCAGCUGCAACGACCUGGCGGAUCUCGACCGAAAAUCGGACACCGUCAGUGAGGCGGGCACGUACACGUUAGAAGUGGACAAUUACUCCGAAGAGCAAAAAGCGCGCAUGAGCAUCGACAACGACUUCAAAAUCGAGCCUCUCUCAGUCGAAGAUAAAACCCAAGAGUACAUCAAGAGCCUCUCGAUCGGUCGAUUUUUACCGGAGGGUCAGGAUCUGUGUCUUCAAUCCAGCUCCGGUUCUUCUGCCUUCUCUAGUAUGCACAGCAGUUUUUCUGGAGGGCAUCCAAUACCGCCAGUACCACCGUUGAAACCUCAUCCGAAUGAACGACCCGUCGAACUCCUCUUCAAAGGCCCAACAAACCCCUCCGGCGACUAUCCCCUAAAAAAGGUGCUGUCACCGAUUUUGUCGCCGACGCAAAACGUCUCGAUCGCGGGCGGCGACUGCGCGCCCCAACAUUCACCGGGCCACGCCCCUCUAACGAAACUCAUGCCAAAGGUCAGUGAGUGUUCCGACAGUGGCGCCAUCAUAUCGGUGACAUCUAGCGGCGUGUUUCGCACCAAAGCCGAGGAGAAGCGGAGACGCGAACGUAAUCGGAGUUUGACGAAGUCCGAGGUGCACGUGGAGGCGUACGUGGACGGCCGGAUGUACAGCGAGCAGAAGAGCAACAACGUGACGGUGGUGCCGAGACCAAAGAACCAACUGACGGUGAACGUGCAGAAUAUUGAGGUGGUGCCGGGGAACGGUGACGACCCGGGAAACGUGGUCAGCGCCAGUUUGGUCUUUGGUAAAAUGGGGAAUGUUGCUACCGUCACCACCGGUCUUCCUCCCGUCCCGACGGAGGGCAAAACGUCCCCCUCGAAAAUCCCGUCGCCGAUUCACACGCUCUCGCGGCCCCGCAGUCGCUCGAGCAUCUCCGCCCUCGCGGACGACUUCGACACCGAAAUGAUCCUGAAACCGACACGGAACUACAUCAACUCGCUGCAACGGAAACUGUCACUGGACAACAGCGACCCGGACAGCGAUUACGAGAUCAAAUUGGGAAUGCAGUUGAACAACACGGCGCAUUUGCUUAAGCAACGAGCGCUACACACCAGACACAACUCCUUAGAUGACACGAGGACGAUUAAUAACAAACUGGAGCAUUUUCAGAGCAAGAAUUUGCAGGCGAUCGAUCAAACUUACACCAACGUGUUUAAUCAAUACGGGAAGCAGAAUAAUGUGGUCGUGAAUAAGAUUAAUAAUUCGCCUAGCAACAGCCCCGUAAGGAGAUCGAGCAGUUUCUCGAACAGGAAUCAGAUGUUUAGUGCGAAGAGCACGAAUAUGGUGCAGAAGGGGUCGAACUGUUGCGCCUCGCCCAGUUUGGGGAAGAACGAGAGGAUCCAGAGGAGCUCGUCCACCGCGAAUAUUAAGCCCGGUUUUGCGGGGGGUAAUGCCCGCCUGGGAGUGGUGGAGCACAAAAAGAUCGACAGGAGUCAGUUCGGCGAUACGGAGUCCAGUUCGGAAGAGGACCUGGACCCGAACCUGCAAAAGAAGAAGGAUCUCGGCAGUUUAACGAACACCAGGUGCAACCGAACGUUCAGUUUGAGGAGGGCGCGGGUGGACAACGAGGCGGCGAACAAACUUAAGUGCCCGAACACGCCGGACAUGCGCCGUAAGACGUUCGGGGGGGUCGGCACCAAGCCCGAGAGGGCGAUUUCCAUGGAUAGGAAACCCGUUAAGACCAAUGAGGUGCAAAGUCGGUACCUCCUUAGUUUAAACAAAAGGGCCACCUCGAUACCGAAGGAGUUACCGAAGCCGGCUUCUAAACCUCCGUGUCCAUCUACGAAACCGGCGGUUGCCCUCAAGGCCGGUUCGCCGUUUUCUCGGGAAACCGGCCGGUUCAGCAUGCGCACGCAGAAACCGUCACCCGUCGCAGUAGGCGGGGCCCCAAAGACCGGAGUUAGCAAAAAAGACGGUAAACAUUCAAAGCAGAAUAACGGAGGUAGAAGCAAUUCGUCUCUAUCCAGUCGAGAGGUGGAAUUUCAAAAUUGGAAACGCCGAAAAACUUACGAUCCCAUGAAAGCAGCCGCAGAGGGUAAAAGAAAAGAGUUGGAGAAACGGUUGAGUGGUAUGACUGGCAACGCCGCAAAAACAGGAGCUAGUCCAGAUAGUUCGCCAUCCCACUCUGGAUCCGUACAUCGAUCACAGUGGUACAACACUCUAUAAGUGACGAAACCUCACCAAAAAAAAACAAACGUAUUAUUGAUAAAUUGCAGAGCUUCCACGGAACGGCAGCUUUAGAACAAUUGAUCAGCAGCGACGAAGAGGAGGACGCGACCGACGAGGGCUUCAGUCCGCCCACGCCGAGUCCCUGCGACCUCAGCCCCACCAAAGCCACCCUGAGGCACACCCUCUGGGAUCGAAUACAUAAUAAUUAAGUAAAACAAUUAUUUUUCUUUUUAUCUUCCUUUAUUCUUAUAGUAGCAGUGUAAAUAUAUUUAUCAAAUUGUU